UACGGGGGGAGCAAGCGUUGUUCGGAUUUACUGGGCGUAAAGGGCGCGUAGGCGGGUGCCCAAGUCCGGGGUGAAAUCCUCCAGCUCAACUGGAGAACUGCCUCGGAUACUGGGUGCCUCGAGGGUGGUAGGGGUAUGGCGGAACUAUCGGUGGAGCGGUGAAAUGCGUUGAUAUCGGUAGGAACGCCAGAGGCGAAAGCGGGCUGCUGGAUCUCUUCUGACGCUGAGACACGAAAGCUAGGGGAGCGAACGGG
RNAcentral lists this ribosomal RNA (254 nucleotides) under uncultured bacterium. Its description in RNAcentral is "partial 16S ribosomal RNA". It matches the Rfam family "Bacterial small subunit ribosomal RNA", at positions 524 to 776 of the family's 1533-position model. The record is from RNAcentral.